AGCAGUUCGUUUGUUUUUGUUAGUGGACGCGCCCUAUUAUAAGUUUAAACGGUUAAACAAAAAAGUAGGAAUUCAUCCCAUAAAUAGGGAAAGAUAUAGGUUUGGUGAAUUUCACCAUCUGUACCCUAAAUUAAGAAAAUAUCCAGACCGAUUUUGGAACUACCUGAGAAUGUCCAUCAAAACGUUUGAUAAUUUGCUGAAAAACGUUGGUCCUUAUCUGGAGAAGACACAAAUAAACUUCGUCAGAAGCCGCUACAUAUCACCUGCAGAACGACUUGUCAUUACUAUAAGAUUUCUUGUCGCGGGAACCACCUAUAAACAUUUGGGACACGAAUUCAGAGUUGGAUAUUCCACAGUUUCUGAGAUCAUAAAGGAAACAAGUGCCAUUAUUUGGGGAAAAUUACAAGGAGAUUACAUGCCAUUUCCUAGUCAAGAGCAGUUGGAAACAAUAAUCGAAGAAUACAAUGCAUUGUGGAAUUUUCCAAACCGUUUUGGAUCUAUUGACGGAAAUAAAACCACCGCCAAAUAAAAUGUCCUCCCAAAAGUGGAACGACAUAUUUUAAUUAGUUGAAAUAUUAUUCUCUCGGACUACAAGCGGUUGCCGAUGCUAACAAAAAAUUUAUCACUAUAGAAGUGGGUGCAAAAGGAUCUGAAAGUCACGGUGCUGUUUUUCAGUCUUCGACACUUUACAAUUUGUUAGAGACAAAUGGACUAAAUGUACCUCCAGACCGAGCAUUACCAAAUUCUUAUAUUAUUAUGCCAAAUGUCCUGAUAGGUGAUGAGGCAUAUCCGCUAAAAACCUAUCUAAUGAGGCCGUAUCCAAGACCAAGAAAUGGAAUUUUAGAUAAUGAUAAUAUAAUAAAAUAAUUUCUUAGAGUUAAAGUUA
Anthonomus grandis grandis is the source of this 886-nucleotide long non-coding RNA. RefSeq lists it as uncharacterized. The transcript has 2 exons. The record is from RefSeq and is a predicted model, not a curated record. NCBI's taxonomy places the organism in Eukaryota, Metazoa, Arthropoda, Insecta, Coleoptera, Curculionidae.